UCGGGAAUUUUGGGCAAUGGGCGAAAGCCUGACCCAGCAACGCCGCGUGAAGGAUGAAAUCCCUCGGGAUGUAAACUUCGCAAGAACAGGAAGAAUAAGUUUGUGCUAACACCACAAGCGAUGACGGUACUGUUUGUAAGCUCCGGCUAACUCCGUGCCGGCAGCCGCGGUAAUACGGGGGGAGCAAGCGUUGUUCGGAUUUACUGGGCGUAAAGGGCGCGUAGGCGGCCGCCGCAAGUCAGUUGUGAAAUCUCCGAGCUUAACUCGGAAAGGUCAACUGAUACUGCGGGGCUAGAGUGCGGAAGGGGCAACUGGAAUUCUUGGUGUAGCGGUGAAAUGCGUAGAUAUCAAGAGGAACACCUGCGGCGAAGGCGGGUUGCUGGGCCGACACUGACGCUGAGGCGCGAAAGCUAGGGGAGCGAACGGG
This 427-nucleotide ribosomal RNA is filed under the name Bacillota bacterium. RNAcentral describes it as "Firmicutes bacterium partial 16S ribosomal RNA". It matches the Rfam family "Bacterial small subunit ribosomal RNA", at positions 355 to 776 of the family's 1533-position model. Lineage: Bacteria; Bacillati; Bacillota. The record is from RNAcentral.